GACGAACGCUGGCGGCGUGCUUAACACAUGCAAGUCGAACGGAGUGGCGAACGGGUGAGUAACACGUGGGUGAUCUGCCUUGCACUUCGGGAUAAGCUUGGGAAACUGGGUCUAAUACCGGAUAGUGCAGGAUGGGCUCGCGGCCUAUUAGCUGGUUGGUGGGGUAAUGGCCUACAAAGGCGUCGACGGGUAGCCGGCCUGAGAGGGGGUACGGCCACAUUGGGCCUGGGGAACGGGCCGGAGGGAUACGGGGGGCAGGGGUGGGGAAUAUUGCGCGAUGGGCGGAGGGCGGGUGCAGGGACGCCGGGUGGGAGAGGAAGGCUUUCGGGGUGGAAACGCCUUUCGACAGAGAGGCGGUACCGGAAUAGGAAGCAACGGCUAACUACGUGCCAGCCGCCGCGGUAAUAC
Molecule: ribosomal RNA, 408 nt
Filed under: uncultured bacterium
Lineage: Bacteria
Description: partial 16S ribosomal RNA
Rfam family: Bacterial small subunit ribosomal RNA
Source: RNAcentral